Molecule: long non-coding RNA, 762 nt
Organism: Hippocampus comes (tiger tail seahorse)
Lineage: Eukaryota; Metazoa; Chordata; Actinopteri; Syngnathiformes; Syngnathidae
Exons: 2
Source: RefSeq, a predicted model, not a curated record
AGUGCACACUGCCCUACACGUCAUCACAGAGAGAAGGUAACGCCAAUGCCAAUGACUUGAUAUCAACAUCAACUCACCGAAAAGUGUACUGUAAUGACAUUCUGAUGUCUUUGAUAGAGUAGCAUAUUUUUGUGUGAGUGGUUCGAUCCUUUAUCAUGCUGGAUGUAAAAAUGAGGAAAUACUCGAUGUUCAAGUUCAGGUGAUCCUCAGUCCUUGGCAACACCACCUAAAUUUGUUCGCAGGUUGAAACGCUCACCGAUAUUAACGCCGGGAGUUAAGUCACCAUUACAGGAAUAUGUGGAUGAAAACCACUUUUAUGCCAUGAAUAUAAACCAUUCUAAUUGAAGAGAGCGGUGGUAACUGAACAAUACAUCUUGUACUGCAUUCUUCUACAACAGGUCAACAGCAUAUUCAAAUCAAAGAUUGCGUUGUGUCCUUAUCUCGUUGUGUCUUUACUUUCUUUCUCGCACAUCAAGUUUUUGGCAUGUCUUGAUUUUUUUUUUUUUUUAAGUUUUCAAUUUUGACCUUUAAAAGCUUGCGCAAUACGGAUUUUACCACGGAUUCUAAUUUAUACCUGUGAGGUUUCAGAAAAAAUGACCAACCUGUUGCUCAAGCUAACCCUGAGUUCGUAAAUAUUACAAAGUGCUAAAUAUAUUACUACAGUAUUACAUUUUAUAUUAUUGUUUUGUAUGAUCAUCAUUAUUAUGAUUAUGAAAAGCUAAUGUACUAGAGAAAAAUCAUGGGCAGAUUCACAAUCAGCAC